RNAcentral lists this non-coding RNA (23 nucleotides) under Rattus norvegicus (Norway rat). The record is from RNAcentral. Lineage: Eukaryota; Metazoa; Chordata; Mammalia; Rodentia; Muridae.
AGAACAAAGGUCCCUAGAAAUUA